This is a long non-coding RNA of Lolium rigidum, 1852 nucleotides long. RefSeq lists it as uncharacterized. Lineage: Eukaryota; Viridiplantae; Streptophyta; Magnoliopsida; Poales; Poaceae. The record is from RefSeq and is a predicted model, not a curated record. The transcript is spliced from 4 exons.
CCGCGCGCCUCCGUCAGCAGCUUCAUCUCCAUGCUCCGGCCGGAGGAGGUCCUUGACGCGGUCCGGGGCGGGGUGUACAGGGUUAGGAUCACCGCGGACGAGACGUGGGCGCGGCUGCUGAUUCUCCCCAUCCUCUCCUGGGAUUUUCUGGCAGACUCGAUGAAGGUUGUGCCGUACCACAACGGGAGAAGGGCGGAGGGGGUGGAGACUGCGGCGUCCAAUUACGGCGAUUGAAGCGGCCACUGGCGGGAUGGACGCCGUGGCUUCCACCAGCGAAAAUCGAGCUGCUCGCUCUUCUUUUCUUUCAGAUCAGAGAUGCCUUCAACAAAGGAGGUAAACUUAGGUACCUCUGAUCUUCCCUUCUAUUUUCUUCCUUUCUCGCUGUGUUGGUAAUCGAGAAAAGUUGCUUUAUUUACUUGAAUGAGGUUUCUGCUAUGGAUAGUAAUGGCCCUGGCAAGUUCAUACCCCAUACCUCUGGUGUUUUAGUGUGGUGGUCGAAAAUCGAGAUGACAUCCAGUUGCUUCAGUGAGAUCAGCUAAUCCACACGACAAGAGCUACAGGCGACACCAACUAUAGUACGAGUUCAGCAAAAUUCAUAGCAGUAUAAAUCCUUGCAAUGAAAUGAAUUGGUCAUCCCUAUAUAUGCACUUUUGAUUCAGACAUGGGUAUGGGUUCACCUGAAUUCAUAGCAGUGAGCUGUUUUGGUUAAGAGGUUAAAUCACCAAAAUCCCUAUGCAAUAUCCUUUUUUACACCCGAAUUUCUGAAUUCGUACCAAGUCUUAAUGGUUAAAUAUAUAAGCAUAACACUCUUGAUCUUUGUGAUCUUGCAAUGCCCGUUGGUGAUCUCCUAUUGCUGAAGCUCAAUAAUUUGGAUCUGCUAUUUGCUGAAUCUCAAUUCAAGAAGAUGUUUUCUUGCUAUUUUUUCACCUCUGCAGGUAAUUCUUAGAGAAUUAUGCAUAAACAAGACCUAGCCAUAUUUUAUAUAUAAUUGCCAGAUUCAUCUGGAGUGGACUGUAUGGCAUCGGAGCUUUUCCUUCAAAGUCUGUUGUUACUUCUGCUAUCUACAUUUGCAAGAUGUACAACUUAAUACUUUUGCGGGCGGAAACUCUACCCUUGCAUGCUCAACAGCAACAUGGUACAUCCAGUUUUUCAGGACAGCACGCCUCAGUACUGGUAGGUACAGACCAAUAUAUCUUAAUUGCCUCUUUCGAUCUCUAGAUAAGAGACUAGGUUCAGCAAUCAGGAAGUGAUAAAAUAUAUCUUUCCUUUUGGGUCAAAGAAAGUUCAAAUGUGUCAGAUUUCGUAUCUUGUUUGCAUUGGAAUCCUGAACAAUUUUGGUAUUUGGGGACUCAGUUUCAUCAAAGUUCAGUGUUAUUCUUAUACUAUCUAAAAUAGCAAGAUGAAGCCUGUAGCUUCAAGGGUCUAGCGGACGAGCCAUCUGAGCAAAAAGUACCUUCAUUGGUUGUAAAAUAGCACUAUUUUAUGGACUCAAGUUCGAAAGGAUUAGGGCACUGGAUUGGCUACAACUCCGUUUUAUCCUGGGAGACAAACAGAUCAGGGCGGUGUGGUCUGCUCUGUCCCCAUGAAGUUUUUGCAGGUCUACACAUAAGUUGCAGCUGAAGAAAGGCUUCAGGUAGGAGCAGUGGUUAGCUUAAAGAGAAGACACCCUAAGAAUGGUAGUUGCUCUGAUCAUCUUGAGUGAAUGCCACUGGAUACACACGGCUUCAGGUGCUAUGAAUUCCGUCAGUUACUCCUUGCAACCACCCCAACUUAGGUUCAAGAUACAUAUGAGGCAAAUUUUGAGUUUGUACUAGGACAACUUCACUGUUUUGUUACUUAUAUUUCCUCCUUA